CUAUACAUGACUCUGCGCAUAUCAAUAAGCGGAGGAAAAGAAACUAACUAGGAUUCCCUUAGUAACGGCGAGUGAAGCGGGAAGAGCUCAAAUUUGAAAUCUUCAAGGUUCUACCUUGACGAAUUGUAGUUUAUAAGAAGUGUUUUCUGUUAGUAGAGUUGGCUAAAAGUUCUUUGGAAUAGGACAUCAUAGAGGGUGAGAAUCCCGUAUUUGAUCAUUCUUUCUAGCUGUGUGAUACACUUUCAACGAGUCGGAUUGUUUGGGAAUGCAGUCCAAAAUGGGUGGUAAAUUUCAUCUAAAGCUAAAUAUUGGCGAGAGACCGAUAGCGAACAAGUACCGUGAGGGAAAGAUGAAAAGAACUUUGAAAAGAGAGUUAAACAGUACGUGAAAUUGUCAAAAGGGAAGCGUUUGACACCAGUGUUGUUUUCUCGAAAAUCAAUUAAAAAUGGCGGAUUUUGUGUUGCAUUGACUUUAUCAGCUUUCUGCACUUUUUUCCUGUCUUUUUUAAUGCACUUUUCGUUUAACAAGUCAACAUCAAUUUCUUUUGUUGUAAAAGGGUCAGUAGGAAGGUGGCUUCAGCUUUCGGUAGAAGUGUUUAUAGCCUUUUACCUCCUGCAGGUCGGAGAGACUGAGGUCUGCAGCGUAGAUCCUUCGGGGUUAGAUACAUUUGUGCUAAGUUAUAGCUUGUCAUAGACAACUUGUUGACUAUGUUUAGUCAUUGUAGCUUACUCGCUGACGCUAUUUUACCUACGCUUAGGAUGUUGAUAGUCACAGCGUGUAC
RNAcentral lists this ribosomal RNA (781 nucleotides) under uncultured Neocallimastigales. Its description in RNAcentral is "partial large subunit ribosomal RNA". It matches the Rfam family "Eukaryotic large subunit ribosomal RNA", at positions 22 to 627 of the family's 3401-position model. Lineage: Eukaryota; Fungi; Neocallimastigomycota; Neocallimastigomycetes; Neocallimastigales. The record is from RNAcentral.